UACGAAGGGGGCUAGCGUUGCUCGGAAUCACUGGGCGUAAAGCGCACGUAGGCGGAUCGUUAAGUCGGGGGUGAAAUCCUGGAGCUCAACUCCAGAACUGCCCUUGAUACUGGCGAUCUUGAGUCCGGGAGAGGUGAGUGGAACUCCGAGUGUAGAGGUGAAAUUCGUAGAUAUUCGGAAGAACACCAGUGGCGAAGGCGGCUCACUGGCCCGGUACUGACGCUGAGGUGCGAAAGCGUGGGGAGCAAACAGG
This 253-nucleotide ribosomal RNA is filed under the name uncultured bacterium. Its description in RNAcentral is "partial 16S ribosomal RNA". It matches the Rfam family "Bacterial small subunit ribosomal RNA", at positions 524 to 776 of the family's 1533-position model. The record is from RNAcentral.